This 253-nucleotide ribosomal RNA is filed under the name uncultured bacterium. RNAcentral's name for it is "partial 16S ribosomal RNA". It matches the Rfam family "Bacterial small subunit ribosomal RNA", at positions 524 to 776 of the family's 1533-position model. The record is from RNAcentral.
UACGUAGGCAGCGAGCGUUGUUCGGAGUUACUGGGCGUAAAGCGCGUGUAGGCGGUUCGGUAAGUCCGCUGUGAAAGUCGGGGGCUCAACCCUCGGAUGCCGGUGGAUACUGUCGGACUAGAGUACGGAAGAGGCGAGUGGAAUUCCUGGUGUAGCGGUGAAAUGCGCAGAUAUCAGGAGGAACACCGAUUGCGAAGGCAGCUCGCUGGGACGUUACUGACGCUGAGACGCGAAAGCGUGGGGAGCAAACAGG